AAGGAGCACCAUUUCCCAGCCGAAUGAGCUUGGGAACAUAAAGCGAGUUUCUGUAGUGGUUACUCGCUUGGUGAAUAUGUUUUAUAAAUCCUGUCCACCCCGUGGAUAGGUAGUCGGCAAAACGUCGGACUGUCAAUAGAAUUGAAACGCUGGCACACUGUUGGGUCCUGAGGCAACACAUUGUGUUGUCACCCUGCUUGGUGGUGGGGUGUGGUCUUUGACUUAUGGAUAGUGGUUGCGAGCAUC
RNAcentral lists this unclassified non-coding RNA (246 nucleotides) under Mycobacteroides chelonae. RNAcentral's name for it is "partial 16S-23S intergenic spacer". The record is from RNAcentral. Lineage: Bacteria; Bacillati; Actinomycetota; Actinomycetes; Mycobacteriales; Mycobacteriaceae.